This 468-nucleotide ribosomal RNA is filed under the name uncultured bacterium. Its description in RNAcentral is "partial 16S ribosomal RNA". It matches the Rfam family "Bacterial small subunit ribosomal RNA", at positions 28 to 507 of the family's 1533-position model. The record is from RNAcentral.
GACGAACGCUGGCGGCGUGCUUAACACAUGCAAGUCGAACGGAAAGGCCCUGCUUUUGUGGGGUGCUCGAGUGGCGAACGGGUGAGUAACACGUGAGUAACCUGCCCUUGACUUUGGGAUAACUUCAGGAAACUGGGGCUAAUACCGGAUAGGAGCUCCUGCUGCAUGGUGGGGGUUGGAAAGCUUCGGCGGUUGGGGAUGGACUCGCGGCUUAUCAGCUUGUUGGUGGGGUAGUGGCUUACCAAGGCGUUGACGGGUAGCCGGCCUGAGAGGGUGACCGGCCACAUUGGGACUGAGAUACGGCCCAGACUCCUACGGGAGGCAGCAGUGGGGAAUAUUGCACAAUGGGCGGAAGCCUGAUGCAGCAACGCCGCGUGCGGGAUGACGGCCUUCGGGUUGUAAACCGCUUUCGCCUGUGACGAAGCGUGAGUGACGGUAAUGGGUAAAGAAGCACCGGCUAACUACGUG